Molecule: ribosomal RNA, 504 nt
Filed under: uncultured bacterium
Lineage: Bacteria
Description: bacterial SSU rRNA
Rfam family: Bacterial small subunit ribosomal RNA
Source: RNAcentral
GACGAACGCUGGCGGCGUGCCUAAUACAUGCAAGUCGAGCGGACGGAGAGAGCUUGCUCUCGAAGUCAGCGGCGGACGGGUGAGUAACACGUGGGUAACCUGCCUGACAGUCUGGGAUAACGCUUGGAAACGAGUGCUAAUACCGGAUAAUCUCUUGGAUCGCAUGAUCCGAGAUUGAAAGAAGCUUUUGCUUCACUGUCAGAUGGACCCGCGGCGCAUUAGCUAGUUGGUGAGGUAACGGCUCACCAAGGCGACGAUGCGUAGCCGACCUGAGAGGGUGACCGGCCACACUGGGACUGAGACACGGCCCAGACUCCUACGGGAGGCAGCAGUAGGGAAUCUUCCGCAAUGGGCGCAAGCCUGACGGAGCAACGCCGCGUGAGUGAUGACGGCCUUCGGGUUGUAAAACUCUGUCUUCUGUGAAGAACAAGCCUGUGAGUGGAAUGCUCAGGCCUUGACGGUAACAGAGGAGGAAGCCCCGGCUAACUACGUGCCAGCCGCCGC